CCUACGGGCGGCUGCAGUCGAGAAUCAUUCACAAUGGGGGAAACCCUGAUGGUGCGACGCCGCGUGGGGGAAUGAAGUUCUUCGGAUUGUAAACCCCUGUCAUGUGGGAGCAAAUUAAAAAGAUAGUACCACAAUAGGAAGAGACGGCUAACUCUGUGCCAGCAGCCGCGGUAAUACAGAGGUCUCAAGCGUUGUUCGGAAUCACUGGGCGUAAAGCGUGCGUAGGCUGUUUCGUAAGUCGUGUGUGAAAGGCGCGGGCUCAACCCGCGGACGGCACAUGAUACUGCGAGACUAGAGUAAGGGAGGGGGAACCGGAAUUCUCGGUGUAGCAGUGAAAUGCGUAGAUAUCGAGAGGAACACUCGUGGCGAAGGCGGGUUCCUGGACAGUAACUGACGCUGAGGCACGAAGGCCAGGGGAGCGAAAGGGAUUAGAUACCCGUGUAGUC
RNAcentral lists this ribosomal RNA (446 nucleotides) under uncultured bacterium. Its description in RNAcentral is "partial 16S ribosomal RNA". It matches the Rfam family "Bacterial small subunit ribosomal RNA", at positions 338 to 795 of the family's 1533-position model. The record is from RNAcentral.